UACUACUGACUGACCGAUAGUGAACCAGUACCGUGAGGGAAAGGCGAAAAGAACCCCUGUGAGGGGAGUGAAAUAGAACCUGAAACCGUGUACGUACAAGCAGUAGGAGCACCUUCGUGGUGUGACUGCGUACCUUUUGUAUAAUGGGUCAGCGACUUAUAUUCAGUGGCAAGGUUAACCAUCUAGGGGAGCCGUAGCGAAAGCGAGUGUUAACUGCGCGACUCAGUCGCUGGAUAUAGACCCGAAACCAGGUGAUCUAGCCAUGGGCAGGUUGAAGAUUGAGUAACAUCAAUUGGAGGACCGAACCGACUAAUGUUGAAAAAUUAGCGGAUGACUUGUGGUUAGGGGUGAAAGGCCAAUCAAACCUGGAGAUAGCUGGUUCUCCCCGAAAGCUAUUUAGGUAGCGCCUCGGACGAAUACUACUGGGGGUAGAGCACUGUUAAGGCUAGGGGG
RNAcentral lists this ribosomal RNA (453 nucleotides) under Vibrio alginolyticus. RNAcentral's name for it is "partial 23S ribosomal RNA". It matches the Rfam family "Bacterial large subunit ribosomal RNA", at positions 471 to 926 of the family's 2925-position model. Lineage: Bacteria; Pseudomonadati; Pseudomonadota; Gammaproteobacteria; Vibrionales; Vibrionaceae. The record is from RNAcentral.